GUACACGCUGUGACUAGCAUAUCAAUAAGCGGAGGAAAAGAAACUAACAAGGAUUCCCCUAGUAACGGCGAGUGAAGCGGGAAGAGCUCAAAUUUGAAAUCUUAAAGGGUUUCCCUUUACGAAUUGUAGUUUAAAGAAGUGUUUUCUGUUGAGGUUUUGGUAAAAGUUCUUUGGAAUAGGACAUCAUAGAGGGUGAGAAUCCCGUAUUUGACCUUUACUUUCAACUUUGUGAUACACUUUCAAAGAGUCGGAUUGUUUGGGAAUGCAGUCCAAAAUGGGUGGUAAAUUUCAUCUAAAGCUAAAUAUUGGCGAGAGACCGAUAGCGAACAAGUACCGUGAGGGAAAGAUGAAAAGAACUUUGAAAAGAGAGUUAAACAGUACGUGAAAUUGUCAAAAGGGAAGCGUUUGACACCAGUGUUGUUUUUCUGAAAAUCAAUUAAAGAACUGUUUAUGCUAAGCUUGUUUAGACUUUAUCAGCUAAUCUGUUUAGUUUUGAGCUUUUCUUUAAUGCACUUUUCAGUUAACAAGUCAACAUCAAUUUCUUUUGCUGUAAAAAAGCUUGAGGAAGGUGGCUUGAGAUUCGUCUUAAGUGUUUAUAGCCUCUCGCCUAUGCAGUCGGAGAGAUUGAGGUCUGCAGCGUAGAUCCUUUGGGGCUAAAUGCAUUUGUGCUAAGUUAUAGCAUUUUAUAGACAACUUGUUGACUAUGAUUUGUCUUGUAGCUUACUCGCUUAUGUUAUUUUACCUACGCUUAGGAUGUUGAAGAUGUAGCACAUCAU
RNAcentral lists this ribosomal RNA (776 nucleotides) under uncultured Neocallimastigales. RNAcentral describes it as "partial large subunit ribosomal RNA". It matches the Rfam family "Eukaryotic large subunit ribosomal RNA", at positions 22 to 635 of the family's 3401-position model. Lineage: Eukaryota; Fungi; Neocallimastigomycota; Neocallimastigomycetes; Neocallimastigales. The record is from RNAcentral.